RNAcentral lists this ribosomal RNA (773 nucleotides) under uncultured Neocallimastigales. Its description in RNAcentral is "partial large subunit ribosomal RNA". It matches the Rfam family "Eukaryotic large subunit ribosomal RNA", at positions 19 to 649 of the family's 3401-position model. Lineage: Eukaryota; Fungi; Neocallimastigomycota; Neocallimastigomycetes; Neocallimastigales. The record is from RNAcentral.
CGAGCACGCGCGUGUGGCAUAUCAAUAAGCGGAGGAAAAGAAACUAACAAGGAUUCCCUUAGUAACGGCGAGUGAAGCGGGAAGAGCUCAAAUUUGAAAUCUUCAAGGUUCUACCUUGACGAAUUGUAGUUUAUAGAAGUGUUUUCUGUUAGUGGAGUGGCAAAAGUUCUUUGGAAUAGGACAUCAUAGAGGGUGAGAAUCCCGUAUUUGGUCAUUCCUCCUAGCGUUGUGAUACACUUUCAACGAGUCGGAUUGUUUGGGAAUGCAGUCCAAAAUGGGUGGUAAAUUUCAUCUAAAGCUAAAUAUUGGCGAGAGACCGAUAGCGAACAAGUACCGUGAGGGAAAGAUGAAAAGAACUUUGAAAAGAGAGUUAAACAGUACGUGAAAUUGUCAAAAGGGAAGCGUUUGACACCAGUGUUGUUUUUCCGAAAAUCAAUUACGAAUGUUUUGUUUUUGAGGAGUUAUGACUUCAUCGGCUUGCUCCUUUCUUUACGAAACUUCUUAAUGCACUUUUCGGUUAACAAGUCAACAUCAAUUUCUUUUGUUGUAGAAGGGUAUGAGGAAGGUGGCUUUCUUUUCGGAGAAAGUGUUUAUAGCCUUGUGCCUCUACAAUCGGAGAGAUUGAGGUCUGCAGCGUAGAUCCUUCGGGGUUAGAUACGUUUGUGCUAAGUUAUAGCUUUUCAUAGACAACUUGUUGACUAUGUUUAGUCUUGUAGCUUACUCGCUGACGCUAUUUUACCUACGCUUAGGAUGUUGAGUAGCGACAUACGCAC